This 497-nucleotide ribosomal RNA is filed under the name uncultured bacterium. RNAcentral's name for it is "partial 16S ribosomal RNA". It matches the Rfam family "Bacterial small subunit ribosomal RNA", at positions 28 to 507 of the family's 1533-position model. The record is from RNAcentral.
GAUGAACGCUGGCGGCGUGCCUAAUACAUGCAAGUCGAGCGAACGGACGAGAAGCUUGCUUCUCUGAUGUUAGCGGCGGACGGGUGAGUAACACGUGGAUAACCUACCUAUAAGACUGGGAUAACUUCGGGAAACCGGAGCUAAUACCGGGUAAUAUUUUGAACCGCAUGGUUCAAAAGUGAAAGACGGUCUUGCUGUCACUUAUAGAUGGAUCCGCGCUGCAUUAGCUAGUUGGUAAGGUAACGGCUUACCAAGGCAACGAUGCAUAGCCGACCUGAGAGGGUGAUCGGCCACACUGGAACUGAGACACGGUCCAGACUCCUACGGGAGGCAGCAGUAGGGAAUCUUCCGCAAUGGGCGAAAGCCUGACGGAGCAACGCCGCGUGAGUGAUGAAGGUCUGCGUAUCGUAAAACUCUGUUAUUAGGGAAGAACAUAUGUGUAAGUAACUGUGCACAUCUUGACGGUACCUAAUCAGAAAGCCACGGCUAACUACGUG